RNAcentral lists this ribosomal RNA (434 nucleotides) under Trichocorixa kanza. RNAcentral describes it as "partial large subunit ribosomal RNA". It matches the Rfam family "Archaeal large subunit ribosomal RNA", at positions 1921 to 2592 of the family's 2987-position model. The record is from RNAcentral. Lineage: Eukaryota; Metazoa; Arthropoda; Insecta; Hemiptera; Corixidae.
GUCCUUUUGAUUUUUAUUUAAGGUCUGACCUGCCCACUGAUUUAUUUAAUGGCCGCGGUAUUUUGACCGUGCAAAGGUAGCAUAAUCAUUUGUCUUUUAAUUGAAGGCUUGUAUGAAUGGUUGGACGAGAAAACUACUUUCUUUAUAAUAAAAUAAUUAAUUUUAUUUUUUAGUUAAAAAGCUGAAAUGUUGUUGUAGGACGAGAAGACCCUAUAGAACUUUAUAUUAACUUUUAUAUUAAUAUUUUUUGAUUAUUAUAUAUUGUAUUAAUAUUAAUAUUUUGUUGGGGCGACAAGAAAAUUUGUUUAACUUUUUUUAUUAAUUUCAUUAAUUAGUGUAUACAUGAUCCUUUAUUAAGGAUAAUAAGAAUAAGUUACCUUAGGGAUAACAGCGUAAUUUUUUUGGAGAGUUCUUAUCGAUGAAAAAGUUUGCGA